CCUGGUGGUUUGGGCGAAGUGGCACCACCCGUUCCCAUCCCGAACACGGAAGUGAAACGCUUCAGCGCAGACGAUACUGAGAGGGCAACCUUUUGUGGAAAAUAUGCCACUGCCAGGA
Molecule: ribosomal RNA, 118 nt
Filed under: Dehalococcoidales bacterium
Lineage: Bacteria; Bacillati; Chloroflexota; Dehalococcoidia; Dehalococcoidales
Source: RNAcentral